Molecule: ribosomal RNA, 460 nt
Filed under: uncultured bacterium
Lineage: Bacteria
Description: partial 16S ribosomal RNA
Rfam family: Bacterial small subunit ribosomal RNA
Source: RNAcentral
CCUACGGGAGGCAGCAGUGAGGAAUAUUGGUCAAUGGACGCGAGCCUGAACCAGCCAUGCCGCGUGCAGGAUGACUGCCCUAUGAGUUGUAAACUUCUUUUGUACGAGAGUAAAGUCCGGUACGUGUACCUUUUUGAAUGUACUUUACGAAUAAGGAUCGGCUAACUCCGUGCCAGCAGCCGCGGUAAUACGGAGGGUCCGAGCGUUAUCCGGAUUUAUUGGGUUUAAAGGGAGCGUAGAUGGGCAGUCAAGCCAGUGGUGAAAGCGUGGGGCGCAACCCGACGACUGCACUUGGUACUGGAAGGCUGGAGUGCGGGUGAGGGAGGCGGAAUGCGUGGUGUAGCGGUGAAAUGCGUAGAUAUCAGGAGGAACACCGAUGGCGAAGGCGGCUUACUAAACCGCGACUGACAUUGAGGCUCGAAAGUGUGGGGAGCGAACAGGAUUAGAGACCCGGGUAGUC